UGGCGGCGCGCCUAACACAUGCAAGUCGAACGAGCGAGAGAGAGCUUGCUUUCUCGAGCGAGUGGCGAACGGGUGAGUAACGCGUGAGGAACCUGCCUCAAAGAGGGGGACAACAGUUGGAAACGACUGCUAAUACCGCAUAAGCCCACGGCUCGGCAUCGAGCAGAGGGAAAAGGAGCAAUCCGCUUUGAGAUGGCCUCGCGUCCGAUUAGCUAGUUGGUGAGGUAACGGCCCACCAAGGCAACGAUCGGUAGCCGGACUGAGAGGUUGAACGGCCACAUUGGGACUGAGACACGGCCCAGACUCCUACGGGAGGCAGCAGUGGGGAAUAUUGCACAAUGGGGGUAACCCUGAUGCAGCGGCGCCGCGUGGAGGAAGAAGGUCUUCGGAUUGUAAACUCCUGUUGUUGGGGAAGAUAAUGACGGUACCCAACAAGGAAGUGACGGCUAACUACGUGCCAGCAGCCGCGGUAAAACGUAGGUCACAAGCGUUGUCCGGAAUUACUGGGUGUAAAGGGAGCGCAGGCGGGAAGACAAGUUGGAAGUGAAAUCUAUGGGCUCAACCCAUAAGCUGCUUUCAAAACUGUUUUUCUUGAGUAGUGCAGAGGUAGGCGGAAUUCCCGGUGUAGCGGUGGAAUGCGUAGAUAUCGGGAGGAACACCAGUGGCGAAGGCGGCCUACUGGGCACCAACUGACGCUGAGGCUCGAAAGUGUGGGUAGCAAACAGGAUUAGAUACCCUGGUAGUCCACACCGUAAACGAUGAUUACUAGGUGUUGGAGGAUUGACCCCUUCAGUGCCGCAGUUAACACAAUAAGUAAUCCACUUGGGGAGUACGACCGCAAGGUUGAAACUCAAAGGAAUUGACGGGGGCCCGCACAAGCAGUGGAGUAUGUGGUUUAAUUCGACGCAACGCGAAGAACCUUACCAAGUCUUGACAUCCCUUGACAGGCAUAGAAAUAUGUAAUCUUUUCGGAGCAAGGAGACAGGUGGUGCAUGGUUGUCGUCAGCUCGUGUCGUGAGAUGUUGGGUUAAGUCCCGCAACGAGCGCAACCCUUAUGGUCAGUUACUACGCAAGAGGACUCUGGCCAGACUGCCGUUGACGAAACGGAGGAAGGUGGGGAUGACGUCAAAUCAUCAUGCCCUUUAUGACUUGGGCUACACACGUACUACAAUGGCGUUAAACAAAGAGAAGCAAGACCGCGAGGUGGAGCAAAACUCAGAAACAACGUCCCAGUUCGGACUGCAGGCUGCAACUCGCCUGCACGAAGUCGGAAUUGCUAGUAAUCGUGGAUCAGCAUGCCACGGUGAAUACGUUCCCGGGCCUUGCACUCAAGGCCCGUC
Molecule: ribosomal RNA, 1340 nt
Filed under: uncultured bacterium
Lineage: Bacteria
Description: 16S ribosomal RNA
Rfam family: Bacterial small subunit ribosomal RNA
Source: RNAcentral